Molecule: small nuclear RNA, 100 nt
Filed under: Meriones unguiculatus (Mongolian gerbil)
Lineage: Eukaryota; Metazoa; Chordata; Mammalia; Rodentia; Muridae
Source: RNAcentral
GUGCUCCUAAUAGCAGCACAUAUACUAAAAUUAGAAGGAUACUGAGAUCAGCGCAGUCCCUGCUCAAGGGAGACACAUUCGUGAAGUGUCCCAUAUCUAA